Globicephala melas (long-finned pilot whale) is the source of this 3324-nucleotide long non-coding RNA. RefSeq lists it as uncharacterized. Lineage: Eukaryota; Metazoa; Chordata; Mammalia; Artiodactyla; Delphinidae. The record is from RefSeq and is a predicted model, not a curated record.
CUGCUCCUGUCGGUCCGUUCCCGUAUUCCCCCCAUCAGUUCUAAUGUCCCCUCCGUGUCUCCGGCACCUCACACUCACCGCGAACUCGCGGCGUCGGGUACAGCCGCUGCGCCUUCUCCAGGAAGCGGAGCGCCCGAUUCCUCCUGCAAACUCCUUGAAGACCUUGCUCAGUGCCUGGCCCACAGUAGGUGAUCAGUAAAGAGUUGUAGAAUGAAUGGUGACUCUUACCCUGUCACUUGCUGGUAAAAAUUCCCAUUUUGGAGCCACAGAGAACAAUACACGGCUGCUUCCCUCCCCUCAGAUUAAGAAAAUGAACCCCAGGCUUCCCUGGUGGGUUCGAGCCCUGGCCUGGGAAGAUCCCACAUGCCACGGAGCAACUAAGCCAGUGAGCCACAACUACUGAAUCCCAUGUGCCACAACUACUGAAGCCCACGCACCUAGAGCCCAUGCUCUGCAACAAGAGAAGCCACCACAAUUAGAAGCCUGCGCACGGCAAUGAAGAGUAGCCCCCACUCGCCGCAACUAGAGAAAGCCCGUGAGCAGCAGAAAACCCAAUGCAGCCAAAAAAAAAAAAAAAUUAAAAAAAUUAAAAAAAACAAAAACAAAAAAACCCCAAAACAAACAAACAAAAAGAAAAUAAACCCCAUUUACCACCAAAAGCAAAGGUAACAAAAGCAAAAAUAAACAAGUGGAAUUAUAUCAAACUAAAAAGCUUCUGCACAGCAAAGGAAACCAUCAACAAAAUGAAAAGGCAAUCUACUAGACAGGAGAAGAUAUCUGCAAAUCAUAUACUGAUAAGGGGUUAAAAUGCAAAAUAUACAGAGAACUCAUGCAACUCAACAGCAAAAAACCAAACAACCUGAUUAAAAAAUGUGCAGAGGACCUGAACAGAUGCUUCCCAAAGAAGACAUACAAAUGGCCAAUAGACACGUGAAAAGAUGCUCAACAUCACUAAUCAUCAGGGAAAUGCAAAUCAAAGCCACAAUGAGAUACCACCUCACACCUGUCAGAAUGGCUGCUAACAACAACAACAACAACAAAUAACAAGUGUUGGCCAGGAUGUGGAGAAAAGGGAACCCUGUGUACUGUUGGAGAGAAUGUAAAUUGGUGCAGCCACUAUGGGAAACAGCAUGGAAGUUCCUCAAAAAAUUAAAAAUAAAACUACCAUAUGAUCCAAAUUCCACUUCUGGGUAUUUAUCUGAAAGAAACAAAAACACUAACUUGAAAAGAUAUAUGCACCCCUAUGUUCACUGCAGCAUUAUUUAUAAGAGCUAAGACACAGAAACAACCUAAGUGUCCAUGGACAGAUGAAUGGAUGAAGAAAAUGUGAUAUGUGUGUGUGUGUAUAUAUAUUGUGUGUACGAUGGAAUAUUAUUCAGCCAUAAAAAGAAGGAAACUUUGCCAUUUUUGACAACAUGGAUGGACCUUGAGGCCAUUAUGCUGACAUAAAUCAGAGAAAGAUAAAUACUGUAUGAUCUCAGUUAUAUGUGGAAUCUAAAACGAACAAACAAAAAUAAUUGAGUUCAUAGAUAUAUAGAACAGAUUAGAGGUUGCUAGAGGUGGGGGAUGGAGGUGGAUGAAUUCUGGUGCAGGGCUUCAAAAGGUACAAACUUCCAGUUAUAAGUAAGUCAUGGGGAUAUAAUGUACAGCAUGAAGACUAUAUUUAAAAACACUGUAUUGCAUAUUUGCAAGUUGCUAAGAGAGUAGAUCUUAAAAAUUCUCAUUAUAAGAAAAAAAUUUGUAACAUGUAUGGUGACUAGACUUAUUAUGGUGAUCAUUUUGCAAUAUACACAAAUAUUGAAUCAUUAUGUGGUACACCUGAAACUAAUACGUUAUAUGUCAAUUAUAUGUCAAUUAAAAAAUUAGGUCCCAGAGAUAAAAUGAUUUUUUAAAGGUAAUAGAAGUAGAUGUUGAUAGAGCCUCCUUCUAAAAGGCUGGAAAAUCAAACAUUUCCCAGGACUUCCCAGGAGAAGAGGGGAACUGUGAUGCUGGUUGCCAUUACUCCCAUAUUCACUUCACAAACCAGCUCUUGGAUACUGGCUUCAAAAAUUAUAAAAAUGUUCUUUGGAAAAAAACUCAAACUACCUAAAAGUGAUUAGAGUAAAAACAAAACCUGGGGAGAGUUACUCUCUCUGCAGCAGUGCUGUCCAUUAGAACUCUCUGCGAUGAGGGAAACGUUUUUAUCUGUGCUAUUUUCAAUACAGGAGCCACCAGCCACGUGUGAUACUGGAAGAAGUGAGUUUUAAAUUGUAUUCAAUUUUAAUUAAUUUAAAUUUAAAUAACCACAUGUAACUGUGGUAUCAUAUUGGACAGGGCAGCUCUAGAGAAUAAUCACCCUUCCCUGUGGAUGAGGACUCUCCUUGUCCUCCCUCUGGGGCUUCCUUUCACUCAGACCUCGGUUGUGGGUUCAGGGGGGAGAUUUAAAUAACUCAAGUUCAACUUAAAAAGUUAAUGAGGACUUCCCUGGUGGUGCAGUGGUUGGGAAUCCACCUUCCAAUGUAGGGGACGUGGGUUCGAUCUCUGGUCAGGGAACUAGAUCCCACAUGCAUGCCACAGCUAAGAGUUUGCAUGCCACAACUAAGUAACACACCUGCCGCAACUAAGACCUGGCACAACUAAAAAUAAAAAACAAACAAAAAGUUAAUGAACACCUGUUAUGUGCAAAGUACUGUCUGAGGUCCUAUUUGCAGGGGAGGGGGGAUCCAAAGGUGGAUAGGACUUGUAACUACCCAUAAAAAGCUCACAAUUUGGUAGGGACAUUAAGUCACAUACACAGAGAUGGAGUGUAACAUGCAGCAAUGCGGACAAAUUGAACCAAGUUAAGGAAUAAAAAAAACAGAGUGAUUCAUUAUGCUGGGAUUAAAAGGGAAGGUUUCACACAUGCAGGAGCUUUUGAUCUGUUCUUGAAUUCUGUGAGCCUAGCUUCCUGGAAGAAGAUGAACAGUGAAUCCUGGCUGUGAGACAGGGAAUGGAGGUCAUAUAGUUCAGAGGGGGGCAGUGCACUUUUGGUUCAAAUCCUGGAUUUGCUAUCUAAUACUACCUUUGUGAUCCUGGGAAAACUCCUUUACCUCUCUGAGUUGCAGCUUCCUUAUCUGUAAAAUGUGGUUAAUAACUACUCCUGUGUCAGAGGCUUAAAUGAGCAGCUUGCACAGUGUAUCUGGCUCAUAGUAAGCAAUGAAAAAACUGUGAGAUAACUAAUAACGACCUACUGUAUAUCACAGAGGACUCUACUCAGUACUCUAUAAUGGUCUAUAUGAGAGAAGAAUCUAAAAAAGGGUGGAUAGAUGUGUAUGUAUAACUGAUUCACUUUGCUGCAUGCCUGAA